GACGAACGCUGGCGGCGUGCCUAAUACAUGCAAGUAGAACGCUGAAGAGAGGAGCUUGCUCUUCUUGGAUGAGUUGCGAACGGGUGAGUAACGCGUAGGUAACCUGCCUUGUAGCGGGGGAUAACUAUUGGAAACGAUAGCUAAUACCGCAUAACAAUGGAUGACACAUGUCAUUUAUUUGAAAGGGGCAAUUGCUCCACUACAAGAUGGACCUGCGUUGUAUUAGCUAGUAGGUGAGGUAAUGGCUCACCUAGGCGACGAUACAUAGCCGACCUGAGAGGGUGAUCGGCCACACUGGGACUGAGACACGGCCCAGACUCCUACGGGAGGAAGCAGUAGGGAAUCUUCGGCAAUGGGGGCAACCCUGACCGAGCAACGCCGCGUGAGUGAAGAAGGUUUUCGGAUCGUAAAGCUCUGUUGUAAGUCAAGAACGGGUGUGAGAGUGGAAAGUUCACACUGUGACGGUAGCUGACCAGAAAGGGACGGCUAACUACGUG
This 497-nucleotide ribosomal RNA is filed under the name uncultured bacterium. RNAcentral describes it as "partial 16S ribosomal RNA". It matches the Rfam family "Bacterial small subunit ribosomal RNA", at positions 28 to 507 of the family's 1533-position model. The record is from RNAcentral.